This 177-nucleotide ribosomal RNA is filed under the name Bacillus subtilis. RNAcentral describes it as "partial 16S ribosomal RNA". It matches the Rfam family "Bacterial small subunit ribosomal RNA", at positions 1360 to 1533 of the family's 1533-position model. Lineage: Bacteria; Bacillati; Bacillota; Bacilli; Caryophanales; Bacillaceae. The record is from RNAcentral.
CGGUGAAUACGUUCCCGGGCCUUGUACACACCGCCCGUCACACCACGAGAGUUUGUAACACCCGAAGUCGGUGAGGUAACCUUUAUGGAGCCAGCCGCCGAAGGUGGGACAGAUGAUUGGGGUGAAGUCGUAACAAGGUAGCCGUAUCGGAAGGUGCGGCUGGAUCACCUCCUUUCU